AAUAUUAGUCAAUGCUCGAAAGAGUGAACUAGCUAACUGAAAUCAAUAAAAGAUAAUUGAUAACAUAAGGGAAAAUAAUGAUAUUACCUUAUUAUUAGUGUCGUCCAAAACUGGUGCCAGAAGACUCGGUAAGGCCAGAGACACAAACGUUAAUCGUCUUAAUCAGGCGUAAAGGGUUUGUAGGCGGCUUUAAAAUUUACUUAUUAAAAAAAUAAAUAAUAAGUAAAGAAUAAAAGCUAGAAUCAAAUAGAGGAUAUAUGAAAUAAUGCUUAGAGUAGGUCUGAUAUCUUUAGAUACUAAGUAGAAUAUUAAAGGCGAAAGCUUUUUUCCAUUAAUGAUUGACGCUCAGAAACGAAGGUGAGGAUAGGAAAUAGGAUUAGAGACCCAAACUACCCCUCUCUGUCAACGAUGAAUGGUAGUUAUUAGUAAAAAUUAUUAAUGGCAAUGUUAACACAAUAACCAUUCCGCCUUGUGAGUACAACUGCAAAGUUGAAAACAAAAAAAUUAGUCGGUUUCGGAGCAAACGAAGUGAAGCAUGUUAUUUAAUUCGAUAAUCCGCAAAAAAGAUA
RNAcentral lists this ribosomal RNA (569 nucleotides) under Russula sp. RNAcentral's name for it is "SSU rRNA". It matches the Rfam family "Bacterial small subunit ribosomal RNA", at positions 360 to 972 of the family's 1533-position model. Lineage: Eukaryota; Fungi; Basidiomycota; Agaricomycetes; Russulales; Russulaceae. The record is from RNAcentral.